UCAGAGAAUAGUUUAAUUAAAAUAUUAGUUUUGGGGACUGAUGAUAGAUAAAUUUAUCUUUCUCUGAA
Molecule: transfer RNA, 68 nt
Filed under: Gryllus bimaculatus (two-spotted cricket)
Lineage: Eukaryota; Metazoa; Arthropoda; Insecta; Orthoptera; Gryllidae
Description: tRNA-Pro
Source: RNAcentral